AAUAAGCGAAGUUGUGGGUUUUAGUGUCCAACUUUGACCGUCCGUCUUAUUUGAAAUUUUUUAUUACUAUUUUUAUUGUUAUUAGAUGAUAAAAUAUAAAUAUUACUUUAUGCGUGACUUAAUUUUUUAAAAAAAUUCAUAAAUUUUUCAAAUAAGACGGAUGGUCAAACGUUGGACACGGAAACUUACGGCUGCACUUAAA
Non-coding RNA from Oryza glaberrima (African rice), 202 nucleotides. NCBI's taxonomy places the organism in Eukaryota, Viridiplantae, Streptophyta, Magnoliopsida, Poales, Poaceae. The record is from Rfam.